This 71-nucleotide transfer RNA is filed under the name Loxodonta africana (African savanna elephant). It matches the Rfam family "tRNA". From Rfam's summary of the family: Transfer RNA (tRNA) molecules are approximately 80 nucleotides in length. Their secondary structure includes four short double-helical elements and three loops (D, anti-codon, and T loops). The record is from Rfam by way of RNAcentral. Lineage: Eukaryota; Metazoa; Chordata; Mammalia; Proboscidea; Elephantidae.
GCAGGGGUGGUUCAGUGGAAAAAUACUCGCCUUCCACGUGGCAGAACCAGGUUCAAUUCCUGGCCGAGGUA